Molecule: long non-coding RNA, 1426 nt
Filed under: Struthio camelus australis
Lineage: Eukaryota; Metazoa; Chordata; Aves; Struthioniformes; Struthionidae
Description: lncRNA (ENSSCUG00000001455.1)
Source: RNAcentral
UGCAUAUUUACAAUGAUAUUGUCUGUUUUCAAGGCAGUAAAUAUUGUGUUUUCUUUUUCUUUCUUUUUUUUUUCACCUAACUUGGUUUCAGUUAAGGUUGAUUUUGAGGGAGCUGGUUUAACAUCAAAGCUUUCCUCACCUAAAGACAUGCUCUGCCUCUCUACCUCUCUACCAGGGUACAGAGACAUGCUAACUUAAGGACACAGAGAUCUUCAAGGGCAACAGAGAAGCACCACCCACCUGGGACCUGGCUUUGCAACACGUCUCUCAGAGAUGCUGAUGGUUAGGAGCUCCCACAUGCCAGGCGAGGCAGCGGGGAGCGAUCAGGAAGCGCGUGCUUUCUCCUGGACCUGGAGCCGAGAUCCUCUGCAGGAGCAUCAACCCCGAUCGCAGAGAUCCCCAUGGUGGGCUGCAGCCGCUGAGAGCCACAGGCUGCUCGGUUUGGAGAAAGGCUGAAAAGUCGUCAGUUAUUGCUAAACCAAGUUGGUUCCAGACUAUAAAACUGAUAUAUCAUGAAGAGAAGAGCAGUGUCCUUCAGAAGCAGAUCUUGCCCUCUGCCCACAGCCACACAGGGCUGAGCCAGACCGAGUCCAAAGGCAGGCUUGUUGGAUCCAACCCCGCUGGAUCACCGUGUCUCAGCCGCUGAGGUCCCUCCUUCAAGGAAGGGAGAAAGAAGUGGAGCUGAUGCUCCAUUCAUCAUGAUGCUCCAUGGUUUCACCUGUCUCAAAACGGGCAAGCGACACGGCUGCAGCUCCCGCACUCAUCCUCACGGGAGGUCAGGGUCUGAAGGGACUGAAUGGCUGAAGACCACCAAAGGGGGGAUGAGGCGUCUGGGGCCCAUGGCAGGCUUUACGCAUGAGAACUGCUGCCUGCCCCCCUUGCUCGGCCAAGGACUGCGUUUGAAAGAAGAUCCUUGUAGCAAAGUGGGGAUAAUAAUAACAGUGUCAAGGACACCAUUCAAGUUGAUGCCUGGAGAGCUAUUCAGUAUAGACCUAUUUACGGCCAUUAUAAAAUGCCUGUGGAUAGUUCAACGACCGAUUUUCAAGAGUCUUUCUCUACUGUUUGAAGGAUCAGGAAAAUCUAUCAAGCUGGAGAAAUUAAGCUAUUUUUCUUCAGGGGAAGAGAAACAGAGUAGGGAGCUUCUUACAUUAAAAUGCUGCUGUAGAUUCCCGAUGAAUGAAAAAUUGGUCUGCAUAAUAAUGAGCCAGGAGAUAGAUUUUUAAAAGGCUUAAAACCACUCUUCACUGCUGCUGUUGCAGCAAGCGGAAUUUAAGGCGAUCGUGCCCGGUUUUGCUUUAUAAAGUUAAGAGAUCGCUGGUCUCCGGUCGGUUGGCAGCAGAUUUUCUUUUCUUUGGUGGCUUCUCAAGCAGCAAAGCAAGAAGUGGCUGGAUACCGGCAGGUAGGGGCUUAGCUUCGAGCUACCGCC